Molecule: RNA transcript, 1604 nt
Organism: Mercenaria mercenaria
Lineage: Eukaryota; Metazoa; Mollusca; Bivalvia; Venerida; Veneridae
Exons: 4
Source: RefSeq, a predicted model, not a curated record
UGCGCUAGUCAAUAGAGGCAGUGAUAUAAGAAUCUACAAUUACUGAAUAUUUUUUAUUUUGAGCAAAUCACUGACGCAUAGAAAUGUUAAUAGAGUGAAUCAACAGAACUUAUGAGGAACCACGGGAAAGCUGAAAUAGGGAAUUUAAACAUGGAAUUACAUUUUGAAAAUCCAGAGAGUUGUCCAUAAUACCGUAUAUAAGGCUCUGUAAAACGUGACUUGUUUCUUCAUCACGCCAUUGGAGAUGUCCGCAAGAUAAUAUUUUUCAGCACAAUCUUUGCGACGAUCCAGCACAUCCUCAAACAACGUUCUCCCUAACGAAUGAAGUUUGCAACAUUUCUAGAGGCUUCAAAAGGAAUUUGAGAAGAAAUACGAUGCGAAUGAUCGAUUUAUUAGAAAACGAAAUUACGAAUUUUGGUAUGGAAUAUAUUAAAUGGGAAUAUAAUAUACAACAACUGCAACGUGAAAAUUUGACCAACAUCCUUGGCAUAGAGACUGUGAAUGAGUUUGAAAGUGAUAAUUCUAUAACGACUAUUUACAUGAAGAUGGCGAGAUUCCUCCGAUUAUUUCAUAAGCUGUGGUGUCUACAUUCAGCAAGAGCUGAGCAGCAGUGUAUCUUGCCCUUCUCAAACACGACAUUUCUUAUGCUUAAGAACAGGGUAUUAGGCAAAUGGUGGUCUGUGCAAAACAAAUGUGGAGAACAAUUUGAUCAUCAUCAUUGCGAAACAACUGUUCCAGAAUUUUCUAAUAAUGAUUUAGGAUGUGUAGACAUACGUAACAUUGUCUAUAUUCUAUUACGGGAUGCACGUUCUUUACUUAUCGAGUCCUUUUCAGUGGUUGAUCAAAUACCAGUGGUUGAUCAAAUAUGAAAUUAGAAUUUAUUGAAAAAUACGGGUUAAAAUAUCGACAUUGUUCCUUGUGCAAUUGUUGUAGGAAUGACUAAAUAUGUAUUUCGAGAUAAUUAAGUAUAAUGGUUCUUUUGAAUAAAAGUAAAUGCAAAAAUUUCUAUCUCUUUAAAUGAAAAGCUUACAAUACUUGCUGAAAUUUGUUUACCUCUAUUUUGAAUUAUUAUACAGCACAGUAUAGUCAUUGAAGCGUUUAAAUUUUAUACUGUCCACUUAACAUGCUUAAGUGUAUUCGGGUUAUUCAGUAUUUCUUCAGUCUAUUUUAUGUACAUUAAUCCAUCCCUCUGUUCAUACAAGUUAAAGCAUAGCAAAAGUUCCUUCUAGGCACAUCUAUAUAAAUAUAUAAUGAUCAUCUUGUAAAAUUUUGGUUGCAAUGUCUGUUUUAUACUGCCAAAUAUGUCAAGUAGGUAUUUACGCUAGUUAUUAUUUAACAUAAAUUGUUAAAUCCAACAACAAAUUAAAUCUGUUACAACUUUCGUUGAGUAAAUACGGCAAUAAGACAUUGACCCGGUCAAUCCAUUACGAUUCGAUGCGUGAAUUUGUUAGGCAUAAUUAGAGGGCCGCAAUGGGGUUUGUUUUCACAUAUUAACCAUGCAUUUGAAGGUAACGAUAAUAUUUAGUUGUUUACAUGUAAAUUUGCUGAUAUAUGUCUAUCUGUUUGUACAUACUAUGUUAUAUUAAAAGAAUUAAUCAACCAUC